RNAcentral lists this non-coding RNA (188 nucleotides) under Pseudonocardia sp. The record is from RNAcentral. Lineage: Bacteria; Bacillati; Actinomycetota; Actinomycetes; Pseudonocardiales; Pseudonocardiaceae.
CUGACCCGGUCGCGUGAUGGGCUCCGGCCGACGACGGAACAGGAAGCCGGUGCGAGUCCGGCGCGGUCCCGCCACUGUCACCGGGGAGUGCCCUCCCCACACCGGCGCCACCGCCCGCGAGGGUGGGAAGGCCGGGGAGGGCGUACCGAUCCGGGAGCCAGGACACUGCCCGUCGUCGCGGAUUCCCA